AGUACCCUGCGGUGUUUGUGAUGCUCCCAACACGUUAUGAGCCAACAGUAUGACUUGGGGGGUUGGACAUCCCGGAGGGCGAUGCGAUAGCCGCAUUGACCGCUGAACACGGCCAGUGUAUUGGCAAGGCAGAGCCAGCCGGCAAAAUCCCCACCUGCGAGAGCAGGUUCAAACCAGUUGAGCACACGGCACGGCGGGGCACUC
This 204-nucleotide non-coding RNA is filed under the name Chloroflexota bacterium. Its description in RNAcentral is "Chloroflexi bacterium (freshwater metagenome) 6S RNA". It matches the Rfam family "6S / SsrS RNA". From Rfam's summary of the family: E. coli 6S RNA was the first non coding RNA to be sequenced, but its function was unknown until recently. Lineage: Bacteria; Bacillati; Chloroflexota. The record is from RNAcentral.